Molecule: unclassified non-coding RNA, 233 nt
Filed under: Hevea brasiliensis (rubber tree)
Lineage: Eukaryota; Viridiplantae; Streptophyta; Magnoliopsida; Malpighiales; Euphorbiaceae
Source: RNAcentral
GAAAGGAUGCAAUCAAAAAAUACAAAUUAAUGAAGUUUGCAAAAUUGCAUUUUAAUCUAGGAUCAGAACAAGAUUCAAAAAUCAAAUCAAAGUUUUGACUAGUGAAGUGGUAGAUUUGUGAACUCCAUACAAUAACUUCCCGAAAGUAGAGAUAUAAUUUUAAAAAUCCAAAAACAAAUAUGCAAAAUAUAAUCUUGAAAAGAAGCAUUCACAUAAAAAAGUCUCAUUUGUAU